RNAcentral lists this ribosomal RNA (429 nucleotides) under Pseudomonadota bacterium. RNAcentral's name for it is "Proteobacteria bacterium partial 16S ribosomal RNA". It matches the Rfam family "Bacterial small subunit ribosomal RNA", at positions 355 to 776 of the family's 1533-position model. Lineage: Bacteria; Pseudomonadati; Pseudomonadota. The record is from RNAcentral.
UGGGGAAUAUUGGACAAUGGGCGAAAGCCUGAUCCAGCCAUGCCGCGUGUGUGAAGAAGGUCUUCGGAUUGUAAAGCACUUUAAGGUGGGAGGAAGGGCAGUAAGCGAAUACCUUGCUGUUUUGACGUUACCGACAGAAUAAGCACCGGCUAACUCUGUGCCAGCAGCCGCGGUAAUACAGAGGGUGCAAGCGUUAAUCGGAAUUACUGGGAGUAAAGCGCGCGUAGGUGGUUCGUUAAGUUGAAUGUGAAAGCCCCGGGCUCAACCUGGGGACUGCAUCCAAAACUGGCGGGCUAGAGUAGGGCAGAGGGUGGUGGAAUUUCCUGUGUAGCGGUGAAAUGCGUAGAUAUAGGAAGGAACACCAGUGGCGAAGGCGACCACCUGGGCUCAUACUGACACUGAGGUGCGAAAGCGUGGGGAGCAAACAGG